GUAUCACAGCAGCACAUAUACUAAAAUUGGAAGGAUACAGAGAAGAUUAGCACGGCCCCUGCGCAAGGAAAACUUCAGUUUUAAAUUUACCUUUA
This 95-nucleotide small nuclear RNA is filed under the name Sorex araneus (European shrew). Lineage: Eukaryota; Metazoa; Chordata; Mammalia; Eulipotyphla; Soricidae. The record is from RNAcentral.